RNAcentral lists this ribosomal RNA (871 nucleotides) under uncultured Planctomycetota bacterium. RNAcentral's name for it is "bacterial SSU rRNA". It matches the Rfam family "Bacterial small subunit ribosomal RNA", at positions 37 to 916 of the family's 1533-position model. The record is from RNAcentral. Lineage: Bacteria; Pseudomonadati; Planctomycetota.
GAGUGAGCGGGUGCUAGCAUGCAGUCGUACGCACAGCAAUGUGAGUGGCGCAAGGGUGAGUAAUGCGAAGGUAACCAACCCUGAAGUUGGGCAUAGCCGCGGGAAACUGCGGGUAAUUCCCAGCGACGUUGCGAGAUGGCAUCAUUUUGCAACCAAAGGUGUGAUUCCGCUUUAGGACGGGCCUUCGUGGUAUUAGGUAGUUGGUGAGGUAACGGCUCACCAAGCCUACGAUGCCUACCGGGUGUGAGAGCAUGACCCGGCACACUGGAACUGAGACACUGUCCAGACACCUACGGGUGGCUGCAGUCGAGAAUCUUCGGCAAUGGGCGAAAGCCUGACCGAGCGACGCCGCGUGAGGGAUUGAAGGCCUUCGGGUUGUAAACCUCUUUCGUAGAGGAGGAAGGGGCUGUGAAGAACAGUCCUUGACCUAUUCUAGGAAGAAGCUUGGGCUAAGUUCGUGCCAGCAGCCGCGGUAAGACGAACCAAGCGAACGUUAUUCGGAAUUACUGGGCUUAAAGCGCGUGUAGGCGGACUACCACGUUGGUUGUUGAAAUCCCCCGGCUUAACCGGGGAACUGGCGCCAAUACGAGUAGUCUGGAGGUGGGUAGGGGAGACUGGAACUUCCGGUGGAGCGGUGAAAUGCGUUGAGAUCGGAAGGAACGCCCGCGGCGAAAGCGAGUCUCUGGACCCAUACUGACGCUGAGACGCGAAAGCCAGGGGAGCAAACGGGAUUAGAUACCCCGGUAGUCCUGGCUGUAAACAUUGGGCACUGGGUAGUGGAACCGCCGAUGGUUUCACUGCCGCAGGGAAACCGUGAAGUGCCCCGCCUGGGGAGUAUGGUCGCAAGGCUGAAACUCAAAGGAAUUGACGG